Molecule: ribosomal RNA, 426 nt
Filed under: uncultured Moraxellaceae bacterium
Lineage: Bacteria; Pseudomonadati; Pseudomonadota; Gammaproteobacteria; Moraxellales; Moraxellaceae
Description: bacterial SSU rRNA
Rfam family: Bacterial small subunit ribosomal RNA
Source: RNAcentral
GGGGAAUAUUGGACAAUGGGCGAAAGCCUGAUCCAGCCAUGCCGCGUGUGUGAAGAAGGUCUUCGGAUUGUAAAGCACUUUAAGUUGGGAGGAAGGGCUGCAAGUUAAUACCUUGUAGUUUUGACGUUACCAGCAGUAUAAGCACCGGCUAACUCUGUGCCAGCAGCCGCGGUAAUACAGAGGGUGCGAGCGUUAAUCGGAUUUACUGGGCGUAAAGCGUGCGUAGGCGGCUUUUUAAGUCGGAUGUGAAAUCCCCGAGCUUAACUUGGGAAUUGCAUUCGGUACUUGGAAGCUAGAGUAUGGGAGAGGAUGGUAGAAUUCCAGGUGUAGCGGUGAAAUGCGUAGAGAUCUGGAGGAAUAACGAAGGCGAAGGCAGCCAUCUGGCCUAAUACUGACGCUGAGGUACGAAAGCAUGGGGAGCAAACA